GUUCUGGAGGCUGGAAGUCCAAGAUCAAGGUGCUAUCAGGGUUGGUUUCGGCUGUGGCCUCUCUUCCUGGCUUGUAGACAGCUAUCUUCUCGCAGUGUCCUCACGUGGCCUCUUUGUGUGAAGGUUUUGGCAAACGUCUAAUGACACAGAGCCACCAUUGCCAAUUUCACCACUGUCUUUCACCAAGUUGAUUCAUUUUGAACUGGCUCCAGCAAUCUACUCAGAGUUGACCUCAGAGCAAAAAAUUGAAGUGGGAAGCUGCUAAAGAAUGUGCUUGACUAAAACAAGGCAAUAAGCAAAAGGAAGUCAUAGCAUCCAGAAAAUGGGAUCCAUCAUGCGCACAAAGAAAAGGUGAAGAAAAUUUCCAGGAUGUUCAGAACCCACCAAAAACGAAAGAUUCUGGUCCAGAUCAGAAGAGAGGGAAACACUCUGAAAAAGUCCCUCAAAUACAAAAUUAAACAGAGUUUAAAUGAUGUGCUUGACCACAAUAAAAGGCUUCUUGCUCUGUAAGAUUUCUGGAAUUAAUUAGUGAUAAGCAAAGAUAAAUAUAAGCAAAUCAUCACAACAGAGUGAACACAUUCCAGUAGACCACAUGGAUGAGCUUUGGAAAAUACAGAUAUACGCAUAAUGUAAUCCCUUAAUUUCUGGGAGGCUGGAGGGAGGGAAAGUUUGAGAAGGUAAAAUGUGUGUGUUAAGAGUGGGAGUGGGUAAUAUGGUUAGGCUUUGUGUUCCCACACAAAUCUCAUCUGGAAUUGUAAUCCCCAUAAUCCCCACUUAUCAAGGGAGAAACCAGGUGGAGAUAACUGAAUCAUUGGAGGCAGUUUCCCCCAUGCUAUUCCUCUGAUAGUGAAUUCUCAUGAGAUCCAAUGAUUUUAUAACGGACUCUUCCCCCUUCACUCAGC
Molecule: long non-coding RNA, 902 nt
Filed under: Homo sapiens (human)
Lineage: Eukaryota; Metazoa; Chordata; Mammalia; Primates; Hominidae
Description: HSALNT0093301
Source: RNAcentral